UACAGAGGGUGCAAGCGUUAAUCGGAAUUACUGGGCGUAAAGCGUGCGUAGACGGUCAUGUAAGUCGGGUGUGAAAGCCCCGGGCUCAACCUGGGAAUGGCAGUGGAAACUAGGGGACUGGAAUCUGGCAGAGGGGGGUGGAAUGCCGCGUGUAGCAGUGAAAUGCGUAGAGAUGCGGCGGAACACCGAUGGCGAAGGCAGCCCCCUGGGCUGAGAUUGACGCUCAGGCACGAAAGCGUGGGGAGCAAACAGG
Molecule: ribosomal RNA, 253 nt
Filed under: uncultured bacterium
Lineage: Bacteria
Description: partial 16S ribosomal RNA
Rfam family: Bacterial small subunit ribosomal RNA
Source: RNAcentral